This 58-nucleotide small RNA is filed under the name Xanthomonas oryzae pv. oryzae. Its description in RNAcentral is "partial sX9 sRNA". It matches the Rfam family "Xanthomonas sRNA sX9", at positions 1 to 57 of the family's 76-position model. Lineage: Bacteria; Pseudomonadati; Pseudomonadota; Gammaproteobacteria; Lysobacterales; Lysobacteraceae. The record is from RNAcentral.
AUGUACCGCUCGUACACUGCGGUUCUGAGCGCGCCGUGCGCACCUACUUGACGACUGC